This 272-nucleotide long non-coding RNA is filed under the name Zostera marina. RNAcentral describes it as "long non-coding RNA (ZMAR_LNC000491)". The record is from RNAcentral. Lineage: Eukaryota; Viridiplantae; Streptophyta; Magnoliopsida; Alismatales; Zosteraceae.
UGGGGUUGUUGUUGCAAAUAUUUCAAUAAAGAUUAUAACCGAAUAAUUAUAUUGAUUAGUUAAUUGAUAGUUAAUGAGUCAAUGUAAUUAGAUAUAAAUACAUGGUUAUUGUAAUCUUUAUUCAUUCAAUUAAAUACAAAGUAUACUCCAGUUAAAACCCGGUUCAGACGACCGGUUUAGUCUGGUUUAAUUCAGUUGAUUCUCCAACGGCUACUUGGGGAUUUAACUCCUCUUUCAAUGGCUCUACCGGCGAUCACCGGAGCUCCUGCUGG